GUCCGCUGUCGAGUUUUGAUUUGAUAUAGAAUGACAAGACAUUUCAUCGUUCCUUAUAUAACAAAACAUAAUAUCAGUGCACGUUUUUAUUUUAUUGAUCUUGCUAUAGUGGGAUGUUGCGACUUAAUAUUAUAAAUGUUCGUGUAGUAAUCUUCCCUAACCUUUCCGUACGAAAGGAGAACGUAAACAGAGACGCAUUGGAACAAACGAAACUUGAGAAUGAAGAUAAAGAUGUGUUAUUUGAAAACGUAAAAUGCAUACAACUUGACAAAAAGUCACUUGCUAUUAUUGCUCUUUCAAAACUGUCAUACAGGAAACACUCAUUAAAAUACGAGGUAUGGAAAAAAGGGGGACGUUUUUCUCAACAGAUUCAGGGAUCAUUCGCCCUGAUAUUUAUAAAUUAUAAAUUAGCCGUCAUGUUAAGAAUGUAAAUUACUUGUGUAACAGGAGGAUCGGUUGUCUAUGCGUCACCGUUCCCUCGUGAGUACUUAUGUGAACCUGGAAUCGCCAACAAAAUCCAACACCAACAACCUUUGACCUUAAACCAGUGUAAAUGUAAUUUAUUCCAUUUAUAACCCAAAAUACUGUUAAAGACGGAUGCCUUUAAUAUUGGUCUCAAUGGCAAAUGUAUACCACAAACUUCUGAGUUAGCAAUUCAGGUUUCUCGUUCGUUCCUCUGGGAGAUUGUGUUUUGGUAGAGAAGACUCAAGAUUUAUUAAGUUCAGAUACUUUAUAUAGAAAUAACAUAAAUCAACAUGUAACAAUUAACAAGUGUAAACGAGAUCCAAAAUCAAUAUAAUUAUAUCAAAAAGACAAAGAAAACUAUAAACAGUUUUCUUCAAUUUAACUUCAAUAAAUCGGUACUUUGUUUACAACAAAAGUAGAGCACCAAACAACAAAAUAUGCAAAAAUAAACUUAUUGCUUUCUUUAAAUUGAAUUUAUAUAAAAAGAAGUGUAGCUAUCUAAAUAUUAGUGUUGAAAUAUCGGAACACCCUCUCUACGGAAAGUCGUGUGCACCGCGACACGUGGAUAAAUAUGACUAUUCUAUUUAUAAAUUAACAUCACAAAAUUACUAAAUAAAUCUAGAAUCAGAAGAACACACUGCGGUGAACGAUUGAAAAGUUUUACCAAAUAAAAUUCUACAUUUUUAUCUUAAAUUUAAUCAGUCUACUUAGAAGGGAAACAAUAUUUAAUCAAACUUUAAUCACUGACAAAAUUCUCGGCUAUGUAUAUAGAGAGAGGAGAGAGAAGUAGACCUUACUCAAGUCACUGGCCAAGAGACAAACUUACAAAUGGAAGUUUUUAACGACCUUGACUGGCUCUACAGCCCUUGCACGGUCGGCCAGACAAACUUAACUUCGAAACGGCCGCUUUUAUACCACCGUUGACCAAUCAAAUUAAUUAUUCUAAUUUAUUUUCCUUAACCCAUAAUUAGCCAAUGAAAAUCGCGGUAUCAGACAUCAUUCGGAAUCAGUGCCAAAAUGGAUGACAUAAUAACAUUUGAAGAUUUCCAAAAUGAAAAAUCGGAACUAUCUACUUAAAAACACAAUUUACACCCAAAAAUAUGUAAGACAAAGUUAAACUAGAUGGUAAGUGACAACGUCUCUCCCUCUUAUGUGAACACGAUCUAUAAAAUUUAAAUUAUAUACUAAAAACCGGCAAAAGUUAUUUUUACAGGCAAUUUUAUCAAAACAAUUAAUUUGCAUAAUCCAAUUCCGCUACACUUGAAUUUAAUAUGGGGAAGUUUGUUGCACGUUUCGCCGAUUAAAAAUGAGGUUUUGCUUCUACCAAUCCUCAAUCUUAAGUUAUGGCCAGAAUCAUUGUCAUUGAUUUGAGAGUCUUGUAUGCAGGAAUCUUGGGAGGGGAAUAUAAGGGAGCUACCAUUUGAUUUUUAUGGUGGGCUAGGAUGAAAUUUGAAAAAAAAUUGGCAGGACAGGAGUUUUAAGUUAAAAAAAAAGGCAGGAUGAGACACUUCAUACCCGUAGCCAGGGGGGUUCAGACGACCCCCCCCCCCUUGAAAACAAAUAAGCACUGUUAAAGUCAAUGAUCUGUUCGAAUUGUGUCUGUUAAAGUCGAGUUUGUGAGUGCAACGAACCCCCUUGGAAAUUCCUGGCUACGGGCCUGCACUUGCAAAAAAAAAAAGUCAGGACGACAAUUUAGGUAAAAAAGUCAGGAUAAACUAAAAAAAAAAAAAGGCAGGACCAAACAGAGUGAAAAAUAGAAACACAGGACAGAAAUUACAGCUAAAAAAAAAAAGCAGGACAACAUUUUUCAUCCUCGCCCCCCCCCCCCCCCACCCUCCCCCCUGAAAAUCAAAUGGUAGCUCCCUAAGCCAAUACGGUGUCAGCUUGAAACAGUAUAUCUAAUACAUGUUUAUCUGUUCCUGCUGUCAGAUAGGUCACAUUUUCCAAAAGGCGGAAUCAGGGUGACCAGUCAACACCUUGUGGGAAAAAUUUGGUUGAUUAUACAGUAUUGUACAGGGAAUGACCCUUUUAGGCAGUCAAUGGGCCCCCUCUUAUUUAAAUUUCUAGAUCCGCCACUGUUUUCUAGUUUGAAAAUAUGUGAAUAUAGGUGGUGAAAAUGAUCAGAAAUAUAUUAUAAAUUCGACAAAUUUAAAAAAAAGAAAAUGUGGUACACAGUCACUGUAUGAUUGCCAUUAAGACAACUCUAGUUUCUAGACAGGAGACCAAAUGAAAACAGAAGUUAACAACAAUAGGUCACUGUAUGGCCUUCAAUAAUGACCAAAACCAGAGACUACUUUAAAGUUACAUUAAAUGUAAUACAUUUGUAUAACAGUAUUAUAUAUAUAUAUAUAGUGUUGUAAUAGUCUCAGGCAAAACCCAUACAGGAUACAGCAAUUUCCCAUUACUUGUUAAAAACUUAUAUGAAAAACCCUGAUAUUAUUUUCACAGCCAAAAGUUUUGCCGUUGUAUACAUUACAUAAGAUAAGAAAUCGAGUCUUAACCCUCUUGCUGCCGAUCGUUUAUUAAGGUUGCAUUUCAUAUGCCUCAAAAUACAAUAGUUCAACGUCUAUGACGUAACAUGCCAAAUAACGACGUCAUUCAAUAUAUGAUGUCAUGACAAAAUGACAGUUACAUUUGACACCCAUCUGAGAACAACAUAACACUGUUUAAUCAUCGGUCUUUUGUUUGAAAAAAAUACAGCAUUGAUGAGAAGCUUAAAUUUAACCAUGGACAUAUGUGUCCCUCCAGCACUGCCGGUAUGGACGUAAGUGUCCCUCCGGCAGCAAGAGGGUUAAGCAAAACUAGGAGAGGACUGUAUGGUAUUUUAAGCUUGGCCUGCGUAAAACUUAGAUUUUACUGUCGCAAAUAUCCGUUUACCUAUCUCCGCUGCGAUAGGUAAAUGGACAUUUGCGACAGUAAAAUCAAGUUUUACGAAGGCCAAGCUUAAAAUACAAUACAGUUAUCUCCUUUCUAAUGCCACAUAUUAAAAUAAAUGUUAGUAUACCCCACCCGUUGCGGAGGGUAUAAUGUUUUUGACCCGUCCGUCCGUCAGUCCUGUUUCUUGUCAUCGCAACUCCUCUCAAACCACACAACAGAAUUUCACGAAACCUUUUCAGAUAAUAAGGAAAUACUAGGUUGUUGUUCAUAUCAAUGGGAAAUUGCGAUUCAAUUUUUUUUCUAAGAGUUACGCCCCUCUUAACUUAUUUACUUUAAUGUACUUCUGCAACAGUUUGUCAUCGCAACUCCUCUCAAACCACACAACAGAAUUUCACGAAACCUUUUCAGAUAAUAAGGACAUACUACAUGUAUGUAGUUGUGCAUAUCGACGGGAAAUUGCGAUUCAAUUUUUUUUCUAGGAGUUACGUCCCUUUGAACUUCAUGAAUUUAUUUGCUUUAAUAUACUACUGCAACAGUUUGUCAUCUCAACUCCUCUGAAACCACACAACAUAAUUUUAUGAAACUUUGUAGAUAAUAAGGACAUACUAUGUAGAUGUGCAUAUUGACAGAAAAUUAUGAUGCAAUUUUUUUUCUUGGAGUUACGUCCCUUUGAACAUGUUGAACUUCAUGAACUUAUUUGCUUUAAUGUACUACUGCAACAGUUUGUCAUCUCAACUCCUCUGAAACCACACAACAUAAUUUUAUGAAACUUUGUAGAUAAUAAGGACAUACUAUGCAGAUGUGCAUAUUGACAGGAAAUUAUGAUGCAAUUUUUUUUUCGGACAUAUUUUAUUUCUCCAAUGACAAUGUGGAGACGUGGGGUAUUUUAGCGUGCUCACUAAGUCUCCUUAAUUGCAAAUGAAACAACUUAGUAUCCACCAAAUUUCAAAUGAAGAGGAUGUAAACAAUUAUAGGCAACCUUUUGUCCUUUGUCACAGAGAAAAAUCCAUAUCAUAUAGUCUGCAGUAAAAGGCCCAGACAUAAAAACCAAGCUAAUCAAGCAAACUAAAGGCCUAAUUUAUAACAAAACUUUACAAUCAUGUACUAAAAACCAAUCUGACAGACAUGAACCAACGACAAACACUGAACGGCAUGCAUUUGGCUUAAGACAUGCACAUUAAGAAUGUGGCAGGGUCUGAACUGGACUUUAUUGUUAUGACAAAUUAUGAGAUACUUAAGCUUGUCGUAAAAACUUUAUCUUUAAGGCUUUCAACAUUAACUCAAUCACAGUCAGUAAAGCAGGCAAAACAUGAGUGUGUGCAAGUCUCAAGUCUUGUGUAAAAUAUAAAACAACACUAUUUUACUUUCCCUUUUUUUACUGCCAGAUAUUAGGCAGGAAACAGGUAUAUUUAUUGGCCAUAGGAAACACUGCACCUGGAAUGAAAUUCACUCUUCAAACAAUUUUUCCUUGUAGAUGUUGCAGAUAAUGCGAUUGAUACUGAAGAAAAAAAGAAAAAAGGAACUUGGAAUGUACCUUUUUCUUUGCAGCUCCUAAGGUAAAUUAUAGUGCACAGGGGCGGAUCCAGCCAUUUAAAAAAAGGGGGGGGGGAGUUCCCAACCCAGGAUAAAGGGGUUUCCAUCUAUAUGUCCCCAUUUAAAUGCAUUGAUCAUCCCAAAAAAGGGGGGAAUCUAACCCCAAGAACCCCCCUCUGGAUCCACCACUGGCACAGUACUACACUUAUAUAAAUGUUUUAUAGAAAUAAGAAGAUGUGGUAUUAUGGUAAAUGAAACAACUCUCCUUGAGAUACAGGUGAGGCCAAAAUUAACAACUAUAGUUUACCGUACACCCCUCAACAAUGAGCUAUACAAGGCCUUGAAAUUACCAAUGAGAAACUUAUGGCCUGAUUUAUUAACAAAACAUUGAACAGAAAACUGUUAUGAUAUACAGCAACAAACCACUGAAUAACAAGCUCCUGAAUUGGGACAGUCACAUGGAUUUUUUAAAACAUUAAAAUGGGAUUGCUGGCACCAAACCCUCCUAACCUAGGACAGUGGUGUAACAGUACAACUUACAAACUAUAAAAAAACGUGCAAAAGGGCUUAAUUCUAAGAUCAAUACAAAGCACAAAUUAUAAAGAAGUUCUAAAACAAAAACACUCGAAGUACACAUUUGAGAUUUAUAGCAGUUACGGUACUGAAAGCUAGUUCAAAUAAUCAAUAUUGUAUCCUUGUCCUAACACAAUGGGCUGAAUGUCUCUUAAAAGCUUACCUAGACCUACAAAUGAAUGAUUAUAGCCAUUGAUGUCAUCUGUUGUUGGAAAUUAAACAAAUAACACAUGGAUGUAGAGAAAAUUUAUGUUGCAAAAAUGAUCAACAAAUAAGUAUGCAGGGUCAAAAUUGUCAGUCAACUCCUAACUAUUUGAUAAAUUAGCCACAGAGUUUUUUGUAUGGUCUAGUUUUAAUUAUGAUUUUAUUGUAGAUCUAGGAGGUCAAUUUCCUGUGUUGAGGAGUUGGAAAGUUGGACUGAAUAUGAGGGAUAUUAAAUGAAGGUAAACAUAAAUUUAAAGUAAUGUUUAUAUUGGUAAUACCUCGAGUAUGCAUCAUAGAUUGGAUAAUAUGGUAUCCAUGUAUUUGGUAAUUUUUUUUGGAGUCAUAUAUAUGUAAUGGUAUGAUGUCGUCAGCAAUGUCCAUCGACACGUAUGGUUUCCUGAUAAUUACUUCAGUUUUAGUGAAUAGAUACCAUGAAAUUUCACCAGAAGGUUCAAUACCACAAAAGGAAGGUUGGGAUGGAUUUUUGGGGUUAUGGUACCAACAGUUUAGAAAUUAUGGACCAAAAAGAGGCCAAAAACAAGCAUUUUUGUAGUUUCCAGACAAUAACUUGUGUGUUAGUGUACGGAUCUCUUUGAAAUUGUACUACAAGGUUCCAUAUCACAAAGGAAAGGCUAGAAUUGUUUUUGGGGGUAAUUGCCUCAAUCGUUCAGGAAUUAGGGGCCAAAAACAAGCAUUUUUCUAAUUUCCAGACAAUAAUUUGUGUUUAAGUCAUAAGUGUAUAGAUCUCUCUGAAAUUGUACUGCAAGGUACCAUACCACAGAGGAAAGGCUGGGAUUAAUAAAAUUGAGAAUGGAAAUGGGGAAUGUGUCAAAGAGACAACAACCGGACCACAGAACAGUUAACAACAUUAAUUUUUGGGUAAAAUACUGAAAGGGAGUUCAAAAAAAAUUGGUGGGGGGGGGGUAUUUUUUUUUCUCGUAAGUUUUGGAUAUUUUCUUUGAAAUUUUCCAUUUUUUCAUUGAUUAUUUCUGAUUUAUGUAUAUAGAUAAAGGCAAAAUUCUGAUAUGGCAGGAGAUACACACCAAACAUGAAGCAUAAAUUAAUAUAUGAAGUAUUGUCCAAUAGAAAGAAAUCUUCAAUUGCAUAGUACUGUGCAAUAGCAAGAAAUCUUCAAUUGGGCAGUAUUAAGAAAUCUUCAAUUGAAAAUUAAUACAAAUAUUUUAACUUAUUUUAAAUUUCUUUUGAUCUUUCACCACGUUCUUUGUGUGUCAGAAACCUAUAGUAUGUCAAAAGAUUGAUUCAAUCCAAAUACAGACAGUAUAUCAAGCUUGAAUAUUGUGUUCAGGGUUGGACCUCUGUGGUCGAAUCAGGCUGCACUCGGCGAAGCAUUUUCUUAAUCAUAUUAAUCUGACACAUUCAAGUUUGUACAUUAUUGAAGUUAAUGUUGAUUUUGUGUUUUUCAGAUUAUUAUUAAAAAAAAGAACACUUUGAAGUACUAGAAGAAUUUGAAAACAACUUGGCGAAAUAGUCCCACUGGAUAUGACAGAACAUCAAGAGAAAUGGCGAAAAAAUUACACAUCUUAUGUGAUUUUCACAGGUUAUGAGCUCAGUAACAGUCUGACAAAGGAAAGAAUUUACUGAACAUGUAUUAUAGAUUCAUCUAUCUUAUGAUGUCUCUUGAUAAAUAUUAAAUCAUAUUGACUGUAAAAUGAUUACAAAUUAAAUCAUAUGGACUGUAAAAUGGUUACAAAUUCGCCAAUUAUAUCUGUUGUUCACAAAAUUUGUUAUUGGUGUUGGUUGGAAAUAUUUGUUGAAUGUUUUGAAAUUAAAAUGUGUUUAUUUAAAUGAUUGAAUCAUUGAAGUCUUUAAAUGAUACAAAAGCAAGGAUACAUGGAAUGACUGCCAAUGAGAAAACUACUUAUCCUGAAUAGUAGGGCAGUACUGUAAACAAGUCCAAGUCACCUUAAGUCUUCAACAAUGAGC
RNAcentral lists this long non-coding RNA (7596 nucleotides) under Mytilus galloprovincialis (Mediterranean mussel). Lineage: Eukaryota; Metazoa; Mollusca; Bivalvia; Mytilida; Mytilidae. The record is from RNAcentral.